Long non-coding RNA from Hippocampus zosterae (dwarf seahorse), 7565 nucleotides. RefSeq lists it as uncharacterized. The transcript has 3 exons. The record is from RefSeq and is a predicted model, not a curated record. NCBI's taxonomy places the organism in Eukaryota, Metazoa, Chordata, Actinopteri, Syngnathiformes, Syngnathidae.
GAACAUUUACACAAUGAGAAGUACAAUGCAUUGUGGGGGAGAUCAGUAAUAUACAGUUUGUUACAGUGUCAAAAGUCAUAUACACUGGAGUCAUAUCAUGCGUUUUGGCUUAAAAUGGGAUGGCUGAGUGAGUGUCGACUGUCUGUGUCAUCUUGUAGUUCUCACGCCACUCUCUCUCUCUCCCCGCUGAGCACAGCAGCUGCUGGAGCACCACAAUCACUUGGGAGCCAUACUCAGGGCUAACAAAAAGCAAAGAGGGGAUCCUUGAAAUAUGAUAUGAACGAUAUUUAAGCACUGAGCGUUCUGUGCAGAUUUCAGGAAGCAUGGUUUGUAGAGACCGGUUGAUAUGGAUUAUUAUUAUUAUUUUUUGAGCGAUGCUAGUUCGGAUAUUUGGCAGAAAAUAUUCAGAUCACCAACUGAUUAAAUCAUCCAGUCGUUCAAAAACAACAACAAAAAAUACAAUGAACAAAAUAACAUUUUUGGGGCCUCUUAGUGCUCAUAACAACCACAAUAUGAGUUGCAGGCAGAAAAUUUGAUUUUUUUUUACAAUACUUUGUCCUUUACUAUUAACUUUACAACAGUGAGGGUUUUUUAUGUACAAAAUCAUGCAAGAAAUGCAUUAACUGGUGAAUGCAUUUUUGCAUUUUGGUAGCAACAACAGAAUCUAAAUCUCAUCACGUAAAUACUUACAAACAUUGCGUCGUAAUGGGCAUAUGAGAGGAUUGACAAGCAUGAAAUUCCCACAGAAUAGCUGACAGCCAUGCAUGUCCUUUACUUCCUCCCGAUACCAUUUGAAUAGUAUUUACUAAGGGUGUGGAAAAUAAUCGAUAUUAAUCGAUACAUCGAUGCGCACGUCCGCGAUCCGAGUGCAUCGGCUCAUUCACUGGGUACGACGCGAUUGACGGGUGAAAUCGCGAUUCAUCACGAUGCAUUGAUGGGUAUCGGUAAAAUCCGAUUCAAUCGCCGUUUUAUUCAUGUUAAACGUCACAUAUCUGCCCUUUCCUAGGCGCAAUGAAUGCACCAUCAUUGCUUUGCGUUUUGUGUUGAAUACGGACGGUAGCCGUGCGUCACGUACAGUCCAGUACACAGCGAGCGAAACAUUAUGGAAGUUAGCGCACGCAGCAGCAAGGAAACUAGUAUAUUUAAUGCAGCCGCAACAUUCAAAUCUUAUGUUUGGAAAUACUACGGCUUCGAAAAGAAAGACGGAAAGCUUGAUAAAACCUCCGUAAUUUGCAAGGAAUGUCGCACUAAGAAGCCAUACAACUGCAGCACCACAAAUAUGCAGACCCACUUAAACCGAUGGCACCAGAUCACCGACAAGUUUCCCUCCCGCUCCCCCGCUUCCACGCCCAGUUCCUCGUCGGACACCGGAGAAACUCUUGGUAAACCAGGUCAGGAUCAGAAAAAAAUGGCCUCUUAUUUUGGGAGUCCCCUUGCAACUCACUGUGACCGCGCAAUGGCUAUAACUAAGGCCACUGCUUAUUUCAUAUGCAAAGACCACUUAGCAUGGUGGACAACGAGGGUUUCAGACCGCUCGUGCACGUUUUGGAACCCAGGUAUAAAAUACCAGACAGGUCUGUGUUCACUUACAAACAUAUUCCCGAUGUGUACAACAAAGUGAGAAGUGAGAUUACUGUGUCGCUGAAUAGUGCGCAAAGAGUUGCACUUACAGUGGAUGGGUGGACAUCUUGCGCUAGAGAUUCAUAUACAUAUAUAUAUUAUUAUUAUAUUUCAUAUAAGACACUCAGUGAGAAUAGUCUGUUUGUGUUUACACUAUAGCAACAGCUGUGAGUCUCAGGUGCCAAAUUGUUUACAUUUUCUUUGCACAAAACCCAAUUGUGAAAGGGCUUAAAUAAGUUGUUUUACAAGUUCUACUCUUUAUAAGGAAUAAAGUGGUAUCCUUUUUGUAAUACCAUACUGAAUUCCAUCUUUUCAAAAGCUUUUUUUCUUUGCUUAUUUGCAUCAUGUUUAAUUGCACAAUAUCGCAACAAAUUGCAUUGUAUCGUAUCGGAUCGCAUUGAUUUGAACUUAAUGUGUAUCGAAUCGUAUCGCAUCGUGACGACGGUGAAACGUAUCGCAUCGUAUCGCCAGAAAAUUCCAUGUAUCGUUUAAGUAUCGCAUCGCUGGCAGUGGAUCGUGAUGUGUAUCGAAUCGUCCUCAGUGCUGAGAUUCACAUCCCUAGUAUUUACAGUGGCGCAAAUAAGUAUUUAGUCAACCACCAAUUGUGCAAGUUCUCCGAUUUGAAAAGAUUAGAGAGGCCUGUAAUUGUCAACAUGGGUAAACCUCAACCAUGAGAGACAGAGUGUAGAGAAAAAAGUCAGAAAAUUACAUUGUUUGAUUUUUAAAGAUUUUAUUUGCAAAUCAUGGUGGAAAAUAAGUAUUUGGUCAAUACCAAAAGUUCAUCUCAAUACUUUGUUAUGUACCCUGUGUUGGAAAUUAACGGAGGCCAAACGUUUUCUGUCACUCUUCACAAGCUUUUCACACACUGUUGCUCGUAUUUUGUCUCAUUCUUCCAUGCAGAGCUCCUUUAGAGCAGUGCUGUUUUGGGGCUGUCGUUGGGCAACACGGACUUUCAACUCCCUCCACAGAUUUUCAAUGGGGUUGAGAUCUGGAGACUGGCUAGGCCACUCCAGGACCUUGAAAUGCUUCUUACGAAGUCCCUCCUUUGUUGCCCUGGCUGUGUGUUUGGGAUCAUUGUCAUGCUGAGUGACCCAGCCAUGUCUCAUCUUCAAUGCACUUGCUGAUGGAAGAAGAUUUUCACUCCAGAUCCCUCGAUACACGACACCAUUCAUUCUUUCCUUUACACAGAUCAGUCGUCCUGGUCCCUUUUCAGAAAAACAGCCCCAAAGCGUGAUGUUUCCACCCCCAUGCUUCACCGUGGGUAUGGUGUUCUUCGGAUGCAAUUCAGUAUUGUUUCUCCUCCAAACACGAGAACCUGUGUUUCUACCAAAAAGUUCUAUUUUGGUUUCAUCUGACCAGAACACAUUCUCCCAGUCCUCUUCUGGAGCAUCCAAAUGCUCUAUACCGAACUGCAGACGGGCCUGGACGUGUACUGGCUUCAGCAGGGUGACACAUCUGGCAGUGCAGGAUUUGAGUCCCUGGCGGCGCAUUGUGUUACUGAUUGUAGCCUUUGUUACUGUGGUCCCAGCUCUCUGUAGGUCAUUCACUAAGUCCCCGCGUGUGGUUCUGGGAUUUUUGCUCACUGUUCUUGUUAUCAUUUUGACGCCACGGGGUGAGAUCUUGCAUGGAGCCCCAGAUCAAGGGAGAUUAUCAGUGGUCUUGUAUGUCUUGCAUUUUCUAAUAAUUGCUCCCACAGUUGAUUUAUUUACACCGAGCGUUUUACCUAUUGCAGAUUCAGUCUUCCCAGCCUGGUGCAGGUCUACAAUUUUGUCUCUGGUGUCCUUCUACAGCUCUUUGGUCUUGGCCAUAGUGGUGUCAUGAUUUGGUUUAGGGACCAACAGGUGGCACUGUAGGGCUCCCCUGGCAGCUGCACACCUGUUGGUCAUAGGUAAUCAGGCCUUUAAAAGGACUCCCAGCCCGAACACUCAGGGUCGGGUCAUUGUUGCUGCUUGCUCUUGGUUUCUGUCAUGUUUAGUUCAUUGUUAUGUUUUAGCUUUCGUUAGUGAUGGGUCCAGCGACACCGAUGCAUUGACACAUGCGCCGGGCUCACAGAGCAAACCACGUGUCGAUGCAUGUGCUGCUUCAUUACGUCACGUGAUUGACACGUGAACUGCAUUGACACAGUCCAGGCUUCUAAUUGACACACCGGCUGCGUUGACACAGUCCAGGCUGCUAAUUGACACAUCGACUGUGUUGACACAGUCCAGGCUGCUAAUUGACACAUCGGCUGCGUUGACACAGUCCAGGCUGCUAAUUGACUGCACCGGUGCAGUUUAGACUGCAUCGGCUGCUUGGCACAGUACAGGCUGCGCCACUUAGUCCAGGGGGCGUCGACUCAGUGCAGAGGGCGUUGACGCAGCAAAAGCCCGCCGCACAGUGUUUAUAAGGAAGUGGGUUUGGCGACACAGUGCCACUUGCCGAAACAAGCCAGACCUCACUCACGCUCGCUUGUCGAAGUUCGUGUCAGUGCAGACUUCGUGUUCGUGCCUUGCCUUCCUUGCCGAUUAUGGAGCAGAGACGCAAAUCAUCCGCCGUGUGGGACCAUUUUGAUGUCCUGGAGAAUAAGGUGAAAUGUCGAAUUUGCCAAGUCGAAUUGUCAUACACCAACAGAAGCACCUCCACCAUGCCGAGGCAUUAUCGGGCCAAGCAUGAGAAUGAAGUUCGCGAUACACCCAGUAUUACGCCAGGUUCCAGGAAGCAGCUGUACUGGAAGGACCAACACACUUCUUUCCCAAACCUCUCCAACCUCGCAAAGGAGUUCCUUUGUACGCCAGCCUCAUCUGUCCCUUGUGAGCGUGUGUUCUCCACAGCAGGAGAAAUCGCUUGUAAAAGACGCAACAGGCUGAAGUUUAAAACAUUGGAGCAUCUUAUUUUUCUCAAUAAAAAUUUGUGAAAUAAAAGCCCACAAGCAUCCUCAUUCAAAUGAUCUUCACAUUAUUUGAACACAUUGAAUGUUGCAAAAUUAAUGCAUGGAUGUGAAUGAUGAUUGUAUACACUUCAUCAUCAAAUCGAUGAAUGACCUUAUGAAAAUGUUUUGGAACGGUUGUAGAUGCAAAACCGUGCUGGCAGCUACAUAAUAGAUAAUAAAAGAAAAAUAUCCCAAACCAUAGGGAUCCUCCCAAAAACUAAGGAUGUGCUGAACAAGAGAUACUUGUACACCUUAUACUUUUACUACUUCCAUAUUUGACCUAUUGUGUGGGAAUAUGGGGAAAUGCCAGUAAAACACUGUUUUAAAACUACAAUUCAAAGCAAUCGGAACAAUCACUGGCUCCAAAUGGACGGAACCCACAAAUGCACUGUUUAUCAAAUUAAACAAUGAAAUCUCAUGACCUGAUUGACUUCAAAAUCGCCCAAUUAAUGUACAAAGCACACAAUAAUAACCUUUGCCAAAAGAUCCAGAAGCUUUUUAAAAUUCGAGAAAGUUGUCAUAAUUUAGGGGGUACUAAUCUAUACAAAAAAAUCCAAAACACGAACGAACAUCACACAAAGGAGUGUAUCUGUAAUAGGUGUAAAUCUGUGGAAUGAUUCUGAAACGGACCAGUAAAAUGAGGAACUCUCUUGCUGAGAUUAAAAAUGAAUCCGAGAGUAGUACAAGACAACUACACAAAUCAGAAUUAAGCUGAUAAAUUCGAUACACUCAUGAAAUAUAGCAAUACAUCAGAAAUACAUUGAUGAGAUUAUUUAAUAUAUUAAUGAAAUGUAGCAUCCAUUAUGAAUAUGAGAAAAUCGACAUAUACAUGUGCUCUAAAGAGUAUGUACUGUAUAUACCUAAUGUUGUAAAAAUGUGUAUACCUAAUGUUGUAAAAAUGUAUUAGUACAGCAUACAUAAGGGUAAAAGCAUUUGUUGAUAUUUAGACUUUCUUUCCUAUUUAGAAAAAUUAUCAAUUCAUAUAUAAGAAGGGUUAGGACUCGGGGUAGGUUUUUUGCUUCUUUCUACUCCUUUGAACACAUAUUUGUGAUGAUGACUAUUUUCUUUUCCUUUUUUUAUAUCUUACCUUCACCUUUUGCCAAUUUAUUACCGAAUUGUAUAUUUUAUAUGUUCAAUAUACAAAACAAUUUAUCAGUCAGUUCAGUCUGUUAAGUGGGUUGGCUGCAGGGAUCUUGAAGGUCCAGCAGGUGGCAGUGGUCAGUGACACAGUAUCAGCACAGUAUCAACACAGUGUGUCAGUGUGUUGACACGCCUCAUGAGGCCUCAUGGACCCAUCACUAGCUUUAGUCAUGGUUUUUGUUUGAUACUUUGGACUUUGUGUGUUUUGGAUUUAAUUUUCUUUGUUUUGAAUACAAUUCUUUAAAUACACCCUGCUUUUUGGGGUCCACCUCGCAACGUGACAAGUGGAGUUUGGAGUGUGACUGACUGAGGUUGUAGACGGGUGUCUUACACCAAUAACGAGUUAAAACAGGCGCCAUUAAUACAGGUAACGAGAGGAGCCUCGUUAGAACUCAUUAGAAGUUAGACCUCUUUGACAGCCAGAAAUCUUGCUUCCUUGUAGCUGACCAAAUACUUAUUUUCCACUCUAAUUUGCAAAUAAAUUCAUUAAAAAUCAAACAAUGUAAUUUUCUGAGUUUUUUCCCUACACUCUGUCUCUCAUGGUUGAGCUUUACCCAUGUUGACAAUUAAUGGCCUCUCUAAUCUUUUCAAGUAGGAGAACCUGCACAAUUGGUGGUUGACUCAAUAGUUAUUUGUCCCACUGUACCUUAGUAAUUUUUCAUGAAAAAGUGUAAGAUUAUAAUUGCCUUCAAAUGGAAAGCCAAAAAUGUUCUUUACAGUAAUGUGAGGUAGUCUAAGCACUGUUCUGAUUAAUAUUGUGUUUGUGGAAUAUCUAAACUCAGCUAAGCUAUAUUCACAGAGCACUUUAAAACAACCAGUUGUAUACAAAGUUCUGCACAUGGAGCAAAAAUAAUUCAUUCAUUCAUUCAUUCAUUCAUCUUCCGAGCCGCUUGAUCCUCACUAAUGUCGCGGGGGGCGCUGGAGCCUAUCCCAGCUGUCUUCGGGCAGUAGGCGGGGGACACCCUGAGUCGGUUGCCAGCCAAUCACAGGGCACACAGAGACGAACAACCAUCCACGCUCACACAACAAACAAAUUAAUAACAAAGACAGUAAAAAGCACAAAAACAGUAACACUAAACAAGUCUCAUGCCAAGUCAAAAGCCAAAGAAUAAAAAUUAGUUUUAAGAUGACUUUUAAAGAUCGGCAGUGAGCUGACAUAACAAUAUGAAUUAAGCAGAAAAAUCCACUUGUCUUUAUCUAUCUCACUUAUCCUGUACAACAUCUUGCAGUCGACUGAAAAUAACAUCACAGUCAGGGGCGGUUCUGGAUCAAUUUCACUGAGGGGGGCGGGCUGGGGCCAGGGGUUUUGAUGGGGGGGCACAUUCAACCCAGGGCUAAAAAGACAGAUUCGAAAUCUUAUUUGACUUUUUAUUUCUUCAAACUUUGAAAUUGUAGUCACAACAUUACAGUGAUGAGAAAAAAAACUGUAUUAGGAGGGCUAAAAUGUCUGCAAGCGUAACAAUACGCCGUGUCCAUCUGUUGAGAAUAUUCAAGGCAGGGGAUGAUAUGGUACCAGCCUGCCGGGGACAAAAAUUGUAAAUACAUUGAAGCUAGAUGUUUUACAUGCAUAUAAUUAUCCAAAUUUUAAAAGGCAAUGUCUUAUAUAAUGAUCCUGUUAAAUAAAAAUUAAAAUAAAAAGGGAGACUAAAAAAGUUACACACACAAAUACACACACGCACAUGCACACGCACGUCGUGGUAAUUUCCUUCUCUGCGGACUGCUUCUCAUUUUCCCAUUUAAGUGGUGCAGCGCACUAAAGGGUCCGACGAGAAUGUUAAAUCACGCACUUUUGUUCCACCUUUCGCGUCGGCGACUCGGGGCGAUUGCAUAAUCUACGCUCGGAGGGGGGGCCAGAACGGGGGGCCAGAAUCAGUGCUACAGGGGCAUUGGCCCCCCU